This 1074-nucleotide ribosomal RNA is filed under the name Escherichia coli. RNAcentral describes it as "partial 23S ribosomal RNA". It matches the Rfam family "Bacterial large subunit ribosomal RNA", at positions 1 to 1107 of the family's 2925-position model. The record is from RNAcentral. Lineage: Bacteria; Pseudomonadati; Pseudomonadota; Gammaproteobacteria; Enterobacterales; Enterobacteriaceae.
GGGUUGUGAGGUUAAGCGACUAAGCGUACACGGUGGAUGCCCUGGCAGUCAGAGGCGAUGAAGGACGUGCUAAUCUGCGAUAAGCGUCGGUGAGGUGAUAUGAACCGUUAUAACCGGCGAUUUCCGAAUGGGGAAACCCAGUGUGUUUCGACACACUAUCAUUAACUGAAUCCAUAGGUUAAUGAGGCGAACCGGGGGAACUGAAACAUCUAAGUACCCCGAGGAAAAGAAAUCAACCGAGAUUCCCCCAGUAGCGGCGAGCGAACGGGGAGGAGCCCAGAGCCUGAAUCAGUGUGUGUGUUAGUGGAAGCGUCUGGAAAGGCGCGCGAUACAGGGUGACAGCCCCGUACACAAAAAUGCACAUAUUGUGAGCUCGAUGAGUAGGGCGGGACACGUGGUAUCCUGUCUGAAUAUGGGGGGACCAUCCUCCAAGGCUAAAUACUCCUGACUGACCGAUAGUGAACCAGUACCGUGAGGGAAAGGCGAAAAGAACCCCGGCGAGGGGAGUGAAAAAGAACCUGAAACCGUGUACGUACAAGCAGUGGGAGCCUCUUAAUGGGGUGACUGCGUACCUUUUGUAUAAUGGGUCAGCGACUUAUAUUCUGUAGCAAGGUUAACCGAAUAGGGGAGCCGAAGGGAAACCGAGUCUUAACUGGGCGUUAAGUUGCAGGGUAUAGACCCGAAACCCGGUGAUCUAGCCAUGGGCAGGUUGAAGGUUGGGUAACACUAACUGGAGGACCGAACCGACUAAUGUUGAAAAAUUAGCGGAUGACUUGUGGCUGGGGGUGAAAGGCCAAUCAAACCGGGAGAUAGCUGGUUCUCCCCGAAAGCUAUUUAGGUAGCGCCUCGUGAAUUCAUCUCCGGGGGUAGAGCACUGUUUCGGCAAGGGGGUCAUCCCGACUUACCAACCCGAUGCAAACUGCGAAUACCGGAGAAUGUUAUCACGGGAGACACACGGCGGGUGCUAACGUCCGUCGUGAAGAGGGAAACAACCCAGACCGCCAGCUAAGGUCCCAAAGUCAUGGUUAAGUGGGAAACGAUGUGGGAAGGCCCAGACAGCCAGGAUGUUGGCUU